UAGUGUUGUGAAGCAUAAACAAUAUAAACAUGGAAUACGUUGAUACACACCGAAAGCCGGGAAUCCACAGAUCAUGUGGAUGUCUUAUUUGUCUGCCUGUGACCUACCGCUAUUGAUCACCUACCCCGAGAGUCUAAAUGUUUAUUUUACACAAAGUUGUCACCAAACAGCAAACAUCUUACAAGAGUGGAGGAUGUCGAGCAUUUGGACGAUGACAUUUGGGCCGCCCCUCCCCAGCAAGCACACCCUCCGGUCAAGGUCUUCACCCCCCACUGCUAUGUCAAUCACACAGUCUGAUGGUUCUACAUCCACCACCCGACAAAGGCCCCACUCCUCUUCAACCACCCCCACUGCCGGCCCUGGCACCACUCCCCUCUCUGCAAGUUAAUCUGGAGGUGAAGGGGCAGGGAGGAGAUCUAGGCCUCAUGAAAGAAGAGGGGGGAGCAGAGGGAGAGGCAGUGGAAGCAGCACAACAGAGGGAGAUGAAACUGAGGACAGGUGGCAUGAAGUCCUUGAAGAUGAUGAGGAUACAGAUCAAUUUAGGUUUAAACCCAAACUACCAUUUAGGUUUAAGCCCACAGUUGGUUAGUGAUGAAACAUAUACCCCCUUACAGCUGUUUCAGCUCUACUUUACAACCUCUGUACUGGGAACACUAAUUAGUAAUACCAACAUGUAUGGGGCCAAGAAGCAACAGGGGGGAAGGAAGAUGUCCUGGAAAACUGUCACCUUGGGUGACAUGCUCGACUACAUUUCCUUGGUGAUUUACAUGGGACUGGUCAAGGUAUCAAGACUAGUUGACAACUGGAGCAAGUCCCCACUCUAUCACUUCGAGUUCCCCACCUCCUUCAUGAGUGAAAAAUUAUUACUGGCCAUCAACCGUAGUCUUCACAUGAGUGACCCACAAAAGGAUCAGGAGAAUGACCAGAAGAAGGGGACUGCAGGGCAUGAUUGUCUUGCAAGAGUCAAGCCCCUUUAUCAUGACAUGGUGGAGGCAUGCAAAACUUACCUCCAGCCUGCUCAAAAUCUAUCUAUAUGUGAGUGGAUGGUUGCCACAAAGGCUUGAAUUGGCUUGAAGAAAUAUAUGAAACAUAAGCCAACCAAAUGGGGCUACAAGCUCUUUGUGUUAGCAGAUUCAGACUCUGCCUACAUGUGGAACUUUUUCAUCUAUGAAGGCAAGGCGAUCACACCCACUGGGAAGGGCCUUAGUUACGACUCUGUCAUGCAGCGGCUGGACUUCCCCUUACUUGGCAGUGGGUACAAGCUCUUUGUGGACAAUUUUUUUCUAGUCCCAUGCUUUUCAUAGUCCUCUUGAAAAAGGACAAUAUGGGCUUGUGAGACCAUUCGUCCUACCAGAAUCGGUUUCCCCAAUACCAAGGUAAACGACAUGACAAAGACAGCGGAGAGGGGGACCAUACGUUGGAUCAGGACUAACAAGCUGUUUUUUGUGAAAUGGAAGAACGACACAGCAUAAGGCAUUCAAUAACGACCAUGUCUCAAGGAGGGUGAAAAAUGCCAAUGAGGCAAGGGUGAGGAAUAAUGUCCCCAUUCCUGUUUCUUUGAAGGACUACAAUGCCAGCAUGGGGAGUGUCGACCUAACUGAUGCUCUGAUAGGCUACUACCAGGUCCUCCUCAAGACCAGGAAGUGGUAUAAUGGUUUUUUUUUACACUUUGUGGACAUGGCGACAGCAAAUGCUUCCAUUCUCCACAAGCAGAUGAAAAAAAAGUUAAACCCCUCUCUCCCAGUUGGCCG
This is a long non-coding RNA of Oncorhynchus tshawytscha (Chinook salmon), 1751 nucleotides long. RefSeq lists it as uncharacterized. The transcript has 2 exons. The record is from RefSeq and is a predicted model, not a curated record. NCBI's taxonomy places the organism in Eukaryota, Metazoa, Chordata, Actinopteri, Salmoniformes, Salmonidae.